GGCAGGAAAUCACUCCCGGUGGGGUGGCCGGUCUUCAAAACCGGAUUGGGGGCGCCAGCGCUCCCUAGCAGGUUCGACUCCUGUUUUCUGCCGCCA
This 96-nucleotide transfer RNA is filed under the name Laribacter hongkongensis. RNAcentral's name for it is "tRNA-Sec". It matches the Rfam family "Selenocysteine transfer RNA". Lineage: Bacteria; Pseudomonadati; Pseudomonadota; Betaproteobacteria; Neisseriales; Aquaspirillaceae. The record is from RNAcentral.